CACAGUGGACUUAAACCUUACAGCUGUGAUGAGUGUGGAAAGUCUUUUACCCGGGCUGGAGGCUUAAAAACACACCAACUCAUCCACAGUGGAUUUAAACCUUACAGCUGUGACUUGUGUGGAAAUUCCUUUACCAAGGCUGGAGCCUUAAAAAGACACCAACUCAUCCACAGUGGACUUAGACCUUACAGCUGUGACUUGUGUGGAAAGUCUUUUACCCUGGCUGGAGGCUUAAAAACACACCAACUCAUCCACAGUGGAGUUAAACCGUACAGCUGUGAUUUGUGUGGAAAGUCUUUUAGCCAUUGUCAAGGCUUAAAAAAACACCAUGUCAUGCACAGUGGAGUUAAAGAGUACAGCUGUGAAUUGUGUGGUAAAGCUUUUGCUCAAAGGCACGGCUUACAGAAGCAUCUAGUUACCCACUCUGGAAUUAAGGCGUACAGCUGCGACCUUUGUGGAAAAAGGUUCAGCAACAAACACUACCGAAAUAUUCACCUGCGGAUUCACACUGGACAUGAUGUUUACUUCUGUGAUCAGUGUGGGAAACUGUUUACAACAGAAGCACAGUUAAAAAUACACAUGUUUAGCCACACUGAGGAGAGACCUUAUAAAUGUGACCUGUGUGAGAAGACUUUUAAAUCUCCACAUCACCUGAAAAAACACCAACGGAUCCACACCAGCAAGUAACUCUACAAGUGCAGUUACUGUGAGCUGAGUAACAGGAGAAGAGUCUGGUGGAGCAACAGAGGAACAAUUUCAGCCAUUUGGACUCAGCUCAGCCACUACAGAGGAAACAAUGACUUCAACACAAAAGGACCAACAUGGAGCGAGAAGUCAGCGCUCUCAGGAGGCCGACAAACCUCACAGAAGAAAGGGAGAG
This is a long non-coding RNA of Oreochromis aureus, 880 nucleotides long. RefSeq lists it as uncharacterized. The record is from RefSeq and is a predicted model, not a curated record. The transcript is spliced from 3 exons. NCBI's taxonomy places the organism in Eukaryota, Metazoa, Chordata, Actinopteri, Cichliformes, Cichlidae.